CAAAAUGUGGAAAAAGUCAAGGGGUCUGAAUACUUUCUGAAUUCACUGUAGUUAAUUACCAUUCUUGGAAGGGAAACAAUGACAUAUUAUAUUGUAAUUAGUGUUAGGACUGAAAGCAUACAGGGGAAGCUAGGUUACUUUUAAAUGAUUAAGUCCAUCUCAAUGUGACUUGGAUUUGAAAGGAAUAGCACAGAAAAUGCUGAAAGAAAAUGAUUGGAGGCAACUUUGGCUCAUGUUUACACCAGUUGGAGGACGUUCUCCAGAAGUUGUCAUAAUUACUGUGUAAGUCUAUGGAAUUGGUUGAGAACCAUGAGCCUCCUAGGUUUUCGUAUUGAAGUCAAUGAACCCAGUGGAGGUCGGAAGCUAGCUGUCCUCCGGCUACACCAUGGUGCUACCCUACAGAGUACCGCUGAGGCUACUAUAGACCAUCCUUGCAAAACAGUGUGUUUUAAUCAGUUAUUUGGUGAUAUUAAUAUAUUUUGUAUAGUUUUAUCUAAAGUACUUUUAUGAAAUUUACUGAGGAGGAUGGUCCUCCUCUUCCUCCUCUGAAGAGCCUCCACUAAUUUGACUCACAUUCACUCCUUGAGGGAGACUUCUCCUUGUCCAAGAAUCUCCCAGAAUUCACCGCACGGCCCAUUGACGACGUAAGGGCAGCAUACACAAUGGCCGUUAAUGCGAAUCGAGUGGAGUUUCCCCAUCUCCCCAUUUCUUAAAGUGUUUCUAAUUAAAUACAUAUCAUUUGGUUGGUAUUUAUAUUUGUCCUGUUGUACCAGUGUGUAUUAUACACAUGCUUUCUGCAUAACCCAACUCCUCCUGAGACACCCUUGGAGAGUUGGGUCACAGACAGGGUCAGCCAUUGUCAACAGCAAACCCCGUGUGGCUCAGUUGGUAGAGCAUGGUGUUUGCAAUGCUGGGGUUGUGGGUUCAAUUCCCACGGGGGACCAGUACGGAGAAAGAAACAUUUAUGAAAUGUAUGCAUUCACUACUGUAAGUCGCUCUAGAUAAGAGCAUCAGCUAAAAUGUAAAUUAAGGGGAGGUUACAUUACAUUGUCAUUUUAACGGACCAUGCCUCAGGACUACCUGGUAUGAUGACUCCUUGCUGUCCCCAGUCCACCUGGCCGUGCUGCUGCUCCAGCUUCAACUGUUCUGCCUGCGGCUAUGGAACCCUGACCUGUUCACCGGACGUGCUUGUUGCACCCUCGACAACUACUAUGAUUAUUAUUAUUUGACCAUGCUGGUCAUUUAUGAACAUUUUAACAUCUUGACCAUGUUCUGUUAUAAUAUCCACCCUGCACAGCCAGAAGAGGACUGGCCACCCCUCAUAGCCUGGUUCCUCUCUAGGUUUCUUCCUAGGUUUUUGGCCUUUCUAGGGAGUUUUUCCUAGGGAGUUUUUCCUAGCCACCGUGCUUCUUUCACAUGCUUUGCUUGCUGUUUGGGGUUUUAGGCUGGGUUUCUGUACAGCACUUUGAGAUAUCAGCUGAUGUACGAAGGGCUAUAUAAAAAAAUAAAUUUGAUUUUUGAUUUGAUUUUGAACGGACACUCUUAUCCAGAGCAAAUUACAGGAGCAACUAGGGUUACACCCCUUGCUCAAGGGCACAUCGACAGAUUUCUUUUCACCCUAGUCGGUUUGGGGAUUUCGUUUUAUGGACCAACACUCUAAACCGCUAGGCUACCUGCUGCCCCAGUAUCAAGAAUCUUGGGAAUACAUCGUUUCCAUAAUUCCUGUGAAUGUAACAAAUUGUCACAUGCUGGAAAAACACUGUUUGGCCCGCAAUAGCAGAUCUUGUAGCAGGUGACGCAAAUGAUCCUCUACAGCAGAUAACAACAUUAAUUUUUUAAAAGUAGUUACGUUUCCGUUUGUAUCACAUCCAGUUUCCCUUAGGAAACGUUUUCAGGACAUUUACUUCCUGCUUGUCUUGUCUGUCUCCGGUCCUCUCUCAGCCUGUUAACCUAACUGCUUGUCUUGUCUGUCUCCAGUCCUCUCUCAUCCUGUCUACCUAACUGCUUGUCUUGUCUGUCUCCAGUCCUCUCUCAUCCUGUCUACCUAACUGCUUGUCUUGUCUGUCUCCAGUCCUCUCUCAUCCUGUCUUACCUAACUGCUUGUCUUGUCUGUCUCCAGUCCUCUCUCAGCCUGUCUUACCUAACUGCUUGUCUUGUCUGUCUCCGGUCCUCUCUCAUCCUGUCUACCUAACUGCUUGGAGCUGAGCAAACAGCAGAGUCGACAUAAUCAACAGCAUCCCCUGAACUAGCCACCGCAAUGUACAGCCUCAUGGGAGAUGGAUGGAUUUCCUGCCUCUGCAGCAGCAUACAGGAGAUAUAUGGAUUUCCUGCCUCUGGAGCAGCAUACAGGAGACAGAUGGAUUUCCUGCCUCUGGAGCAGCAUUUAGCCUCACAGGAGAGAUUUCCUGCAGCGUUCACACAAAUCCCCUAGAUGUUUUCAGUAGCCUAUAUCAGUAACGGAUUCCAUGUUUUGGGGCUCCCGAGUGGCGCAGCAGGUCUAAGGCACUGCAUCUCAGUGCUAGAGGCAGUCACUACAGACCCUGGUUCGAUUCCAGGCUGUAUCACAACCGGGCCGUGAUUGGGAGUCCCAUAGGGCGGUGCACAAUUGUCCCAGCGUCGUUAAGGUUUGGCCUGGGUAGGUCGGCCGGUCAUUGUAAAUAAGAAUUUGUUAUUUUAACUGACUUGCCUAGUUAAAUAAAAAAAUGGAAUAAAAAACAUCCACAA
RNAcentral lists this long non-coding RNA (2724 nucleotides) under Salmo salar (Atlantic salmon). RNAcentral's name for it is "lncRNA (ENSSSAG00000113359.1)". The stretch from base 871 to 940 matches the Rfam family "tRNA". Lineage: Eukaryota; Metazoa; Chordata; Actinopteri; Salmoniformes; Salmonidae. The record is from RNAcentral.